GGUUAAGCGACUAAGCGUACACGGUGGAUGCCCUGGCAGUCAGAGGCGAUGAAGGACGUGCUAAUCUGCGAUAAGCGUCGGUAAGGUGAUAUGAACCGUUAUAACCGGCGAUUUCCGAAUGGGGAAACCCAGUGUGUUUCGACACACUAUCAUUAACUGAAUCCAUAGGUUAAUGAGGCGAACCGGGGGAACUGAAACAUCUAAGUACCCCGAGGAAAAGAAAUCAACCGAGAUUCCCCCAGUAGCGGCGAGCGAACGGGGAGCAGCCCAGAGCCUGAAUCAGUAUGUGUGUUAGUGGAAGCGUCUGGAAAGGCGCGCGAUACAGGGUGACAGCCCCGUACACAAAAAUGCACAUAUUGUGAGCUCGAUGAGUAGGGCGGGACACGUGGUAUCCUGUCUGAAUAUGGGGGGACCAUCCUCCAAGGCUAAAUACUCCUGACUGACCGAUAGUGAACCAGUACCGUGAGGGAAAGGCGAAAAGAACCCCGGCGAGGGGAGUGAAAAAGAACCUGAAACCGUGUACGUACAAGCAGUGGGAGCACGCUUCGGCGUGUGACUGCGUACCUUUUGUAUAAUGGGUCAGCGACUUAUAUUCUGUAGCAAGGUUAACCGAAUAGGGGAGCCGAAGGGAAACCGAGUCUUAACUGGGCGUUAAGUUGCAGGGUAUAGACCCGAAACCCGGUGAUCUAGCCAUGGGCAGGUUGAAGGUUGGGUAACACUAACUGGAGGACCGAACCGACUAAUGUUGAAAAAUUAGCGGAUGACUUGUGGCUGGGGGUGAAAGGCCAAUCAAACCGGGAGAUAGCUGGUUCUCCCCGAAAGCUAUUUAGGUAGCGCCUCGUGAAUUCAUCUCCGGGGGUAGAGCACUGUUUCGGCAAGGGGGUCAUCCCGACUUACCAACCCGAUGCAAACUGCGAAUACCGGAGAAUGUUAUCACGGGAGACACACGGCGGGUGCUAACGUCCGUCGUGAAGAGGGAAACAACCCAGACCGCCAGCUAAGGUCCCAAAGUCAUGGUUAAGUGGGAAACGAUGUGGGAAGGCCCAGACAGCCAGGAUGUUGGCUUAGAAGCAGCCAUCAUUUAAAGAAAGCGUAAUAGCUCACUGGUCGAGUCGGCCUGCGCGGAAGAUGUAACGGGGCUAAACCAUGCACCGAAGCUGCGGCAGCGACGCUUAUGCGUUGUUGGGUAGGGGAGCGUUCUGUAAGCCUGUGAAGGUGUGCUGUGAGGCAUGCUGGAGGUAUCAGAAGUGCGAAUGCUGACAUAAGUAACGAUAAAGCGGGUGAAAAGCCCGCUCGCCGGAAGACCAAGGGUUCCUGUCCAACGUUAAUCGGGGCAGGGUGAGUCGACCCCUAAGGCGAGGCCGAAAGGCGUAGUCGAUGGGAAACAGGUUAAUAUUCCUGUACUUGGUGUUACUGCGAAGGGGGGACGGAGAAGGCUAUGUUGGCCGGGCGACGGUUGUCCCGGUUUAAGCGUGUAGGCUGGUUUUCCAGGCAAAUCCGGAAAAUCAAGGCUGAGGCGUGAUGACGAGGCACUACGGUGCUGAAGCAACAAAUGCCCUGCUUCCAGGAAAAGCCUCUAAGCAUCAGGUAACAUCAAAUCGUACCCCAAACCGACACAGGUGGUCAGGUAGAGAAUACCAAGGCGCUUGAGAGAACUCGGGUGAAGGAACUAGGCAAAAUGGUGCCGUAACUUCGGGAGAAGGCACGCUGAUAUGUAGGUGAAGCGACUUGCUCGUGGAGCUGAAAUCAGUCGAAGAUACCAGCUGGCUGCAACUGUUUAUUAAAAACACAGCACUGUGCAAACACGAAAGUGGACGUAUACGGUGUGACGCCUGCCCGGUGCCGGAAGGUUAAUUGAUGGGGUUAGCGCAAGCGAAGCUCUUGAUCGAAGCCCCGGUAAACGGCGGCCGUAACUAUAACGGUCCUAAGGUAGCGAAAUUCCUUGUCGGGUAAGUUCCGACCUGCACGAAUGGCGUAAUGAUGGCCAGGCUGUCUCCACCCGAGACUCAGUGAAAUUGAACUCGCUGUGAAGAUGCAGUGUACCCGCGGCAAGACGGAAAGACCCCGUGAACCUUUACUAUAGCUUGACACUGAACAUUGAGCCUUGAUGUGUAGGAUAGGUGGGAGGCUUUGAAGUGUGGACGCCAGUCUGCAUGGAGCCGACCUUGAAAUACCACCCUUUAAUGUUUGAUGUUCUAACGUUGACCCGUAAUCCGGGUUGCGGACAGUGUCUGGUGGGUAGUUUGACUGGGGCGGUCUCCUCCUAAAGAGUAACGGAGGAGCACGAAGGUUGGCUAAUCCUGGUCGGACAUCAGGAGGUUAGUGCAAUGGCAUAAGCCAGCUUGACUGCGAGCGUGACGGCGCGAGCAGGUGCGAAAGCAGGUCAUAGUGAUCCGGUGGUUCUGAAUGGAAGGGCCAUCGCUCAACGGAUAAAAGGUACUCCGGGGAUAACAGGCUGAUACCGCCCAAGAGUUCAUAUCGACGGCGGUGUUUGGCACCUCGAUGUCGGCUCAUCACAUCCUGGGGCUGAAGUAGGUCCCAAGGGUAUGGCUGUUCGCCAUUUAAAGUGGUACGCGAGCUGGGUUUAGAACGUCGUGAGACAGUUCGGUCCCUAUCUGCCGUGGGCGCUGGAGAACUGAGGGGGGCUGCUCCUAGUACGAGAGGACCGGAGUGGACGCAUCACUGGUGUUCGGGUUGUCAUGCCAAUGGCACUGCCCGGUAGCUAAAUGCGGAAGAGAUAAGUGCUGAAAGCAUCUAAGCACGAAACUUGCCCCGAGAUGAGUUCUCCCUGACUCCUUGAGAGUCCUGAAGGAACGUUGAAGACGACGACGUUGAUAGGCCGGGUGUGUAAGCGCAGCGAUGCGUUGAGCUAACCGGUACUAAUGAACCGUGAGGCUUAACCUU
RNAcentral lists this ribosomal RNA (2904 nucleotides) under Escherichia coli. RNAcentral's name for it is "23S ribosomal RNA". It matches the Rfam family "Bacterial large subunit ribosomal RNA". The record is from RNAcentral. Lineage: Bacteria; Pseudomonadati; Pseudomonadota; Gammaproteobacteria; Enterobacterales; Enterobacteriaceae.